UUUCCUACGGGGGGCAGCAGUGAGGAAUAUUGGUCAAUGGACGCAAGUCUGAACCAGCCAUGCCGCGUGCAGGAUGACGGCUCUAUGAGUUGUAAACUGCUUUUGUACGAGGGUAAACCCCGAUACGUGUAUCGGGUUGAAAGUAUCGUACGAAUAAGGAUCGGCUAACUCCGUGCCAGCAGCCGCGGUAAUACGGAGGAUCCGAGCGUUAUCCGGAUUUAUUGGGUUUAAAGUGUGCGUAGGCGGAUUGAUAAGUUAGAGGUGAAAUGUCCGAGCUUAACUC
RNAcentral lists this ribosomal RNA (283 nucleotides) under uncultured bacterium. RNAcentral describes it as "partial 16S ribosomal RNA". It matches the Rfam family "Bacterial small subunit ribosomal RNA", at positions 335 to 615 of the family's 1533-position model. The record is from RNAcentral.